GCCCCGUCCUAGGUGAGUCUUUCUGAAUAAGGCAGGAGGAGACAGACAGUCUCGUGUCACAGGGGAGGGCCUGGGCAGUGCCUGUCACCCACAGAAGGAACAGGGAGCUGAGGUGAGGCCCCUGCUCUUCUUAGAUCUCUCCUCAGAGGAUUUCUCUCCACACCGAACCCCCUCAUUCUCUACCUCCUGAAGUGCUUUCCUGCCCAGACUAAAGGAGCCUGCAUCUUUGUGCAUCCUCAGGCUAGGGCCAUGAGCAGUAGAGAGGAAGGCUGAAGGGAUGGGGUGCAACGUUCAGGGACCUUCUGGACUCAAACUUGUAAGACCAUGCACACCUUGCUUACUGGUUAACCCGCCCCUGCUGGGAGAGCAUCCAUCCUUUCCCAUUCUCAGGACAUAACAGUGAGCAAGACAGAGCUGGGCCUGGCCUCAUGGAAUCCCAUUCUGGUGGGGAGGACAGAGGUAAACAAGCAGUCACAUGGCCACCACAAGGGUUCUGAGAGCCCACAGCUAGGGCACCUGACCUGGUCUUCGGGUAGAGCAGGUUAGGUAACGGUUUUGAAGGAAGUGACCUUUGAAUGGAAAUGCGAAGGAUGGAUAGGAACAAGCUGUAUAUGGUAGAUUGUAUUUUCCACAGCAAGCUGCACAUACUCUUCUGGAAACUUGCCAUUCUCUAUCAGAGGCAGAGUCUAUUUCUCUUCCUCUGGAACCCGGGUGGGACUUUGUAAUUGCCUCGAUAAAUAGAAUGUAGCGGAUGUGACACUGUGUAACUUAUGAGACUGGGUCAUAAAAUCUGAUAAGGUUUCCACCAGCUCUGCCUCUCUUGGGGACGCUCACUGUUGGAACACAGUCACCAAGCUGUGAGGAAACCCAAACUAGCCUACAUGCAAGACUAAGGAACUGAGGCCCCAGGCCAACAGCCAGCUGCAGCAAUGGCCAGGCGGGUUCACGAAUUCUCCUGUAGAUGAUCCAGUCUUUGAGGUCCCAGACAUCAUGAAGCAGAGACAAGCUGCCCCUGCUCUGCCCUGUCUGAAUUCUUGAUGCAUAGGAUCUAUGAGCCUAAUAAAUGGUUGUUUCAUACCUCUAAGUUUGGGGAUAAUUUGUCACACAGACCUAGUAACUGGGGCGUAACCAGAAAAGAUAACUGGCAAAUGUGUUUGGGGGAGAGCAGGAGAAAGGGGGCGCUGGGAGAGGCUUGGUGUUGGGAAGAACAUCUCAGGCAGAGGGAAGGACAUGGGCAGAGGCCCUGAGGAGGAGCUUGCUGCUGUUGUGUGCUGUCGAGUAGAUUCCAACCUUACAGGACAGAGUAGAACCGCCCCAUAGGGUUUCCUAGGCUGAAAUCUUUAUGGGAGCAGAUCACCAGGUCUUUUCUCCUGCAGAGUGGCUGGUGGGUUCUAAGUGCUGACAUUUAGGUUAGCAGUUGAGCACUUAACCAUUGUGCUACCAGGGCUCCUUGAGAAGAAUCCUAGCACAUUGUAAGCACAGGAAGAAGACCAAAGUGAGGGGGAGCAUGGGCAAGAUGAAGCAGAACUUGAAGCUAGUCUUCAAAAUAUGCUACGCUUAUGCCUAGAGGCACAGAAAGACUCCUAAGUAGUACAGACAUUGAUAGUUUUUUUAAAAAAAAAAUGAGUGUUUUGUUUGUUUACAGCAUGUGCUCUAUGGUAAAUUUAAUGUUUCUUUCUCAAAAUAAUUGUUCCCAUUAUUAUAUUUUAGAACAAAACGGGUUCUGAUUAUUUCAUUUUGGAUUUUAAAAAUUGUGGUGAAAUAUAUGUAACACAAAAUGUGCCACUUUAGCCAUUUUUAAGUGCACAAUUCCAGGCACUGAUAGUUUUAACACAGUUAACUUCUAGAUCCUCAAACCUCAGAGGACUCUUUCCUACAGUUGAUCCGGCUGGGAGUGAACAUCAAGGCCAUUUCCCUCUCUGCCUCCUGUUUCUCAAUUUUCCUCCUACUUCACUAAGGAAAAUCCAUCCCGAAUGUAACUGUGGUGCACCGCCCUUGGUCUUUAUGCCAACUCAAAGUCCUGCUGGCCAGGAAGCCAACUUAAUCAAAGCAUCAUAAACUCUUCUACCCACCUCACUGAGCUGCAUUUCCAACAUUUGAAUGGUCCUUUUAAUAACUAUUUAUCCAAAUUUAUCAUACAUUUAGAUUGUUUGGAAACCCCAGUGGCUUAGUGGUUAAGAACUAUGGCUGCUAACCAAAAGGUUGGCAGUUUGAAUCCACCAGGCGCUCCUUGGAAACUCUAUGGGGCAGUUCUGCUCUCUCUUAUAGGGCCACUAUGAGUCAGAAUUGACUCAACAGCAACGGGUUUUAGAUUGUUUUGAUCGAUUGUGUAAUUCAAUCCAAAAUAAAUUUUUUUUUUUUUUUAACACUUAGGGCCAGGGCGGAUGGACAUCGGGAGCAGCGAGGGCAAUACCCCUGGCCUUUCCUUCCAUAUUUCUGUAAAGUUUGGGUCAACCCAACAGCUUGGCCUGUGCUGUGGGGAGAACAGAUAAUGGACUUGGACCUUAUGAGGUCAGAGUAAGAAAGGUGGGGAAACAGCUUUGCCUGCAUUGCUCCCUCCCCUGAUGCCAGGGUGGGCUUAAGAAGCAUCUUCAAAGGUUUUGAUUGGCAGUCUAGCACUGGCAGUUUGUGCAACAGUGUUAGGAGCCCACGUGGGGAAUCCGUGUGGGAGAAUUCCCCUCACUUUGCUCGGUGGUCUCUGCCUCUCCCCCGGCUCUUUCUUUUCCAUGCACCCCUCUUCUCACUAAGCCUCAGCCACACCAGCUGCUUUCUGCUCAGCAAACAUGUUGGGCUCUCCAUGACCCCCUUCCAGUCACAGGGCCUUUGCACACCCUGUUUUCUCUGCCUGGAAUGCUCUCUACUCUUUGCUUGGCUGACUCCUUUACAUCUUACAUGCCUUGGCUCAAACAUCACUUCUUCAAAAAGGCCUUUCCUGAGUAAACUAGAUUUCUUUUGUUUUCAUUUAUUUCACACUUUGCUCAUUCCCUGGGAGUUCAUGGGUGGUAUAAAUGGUUAAUGAACUCACCUGCUAACUGAAAGUUUGUAGGUUUGAGUCCACUCAGAGAUGCCUCAGAAGAAAGGCCUGGUGAUCUACUUGCAAAAAAUCAGCCAUGGAAAACCCUAAGAAGCACCGUUCUACUCUGACACACACGGGGUCACCAUGAGUCGGAAUCGACACAACGGCAACUUUUUUGUUGUUGUUUUUCCCUGUAGAGCAAAUAUUACAAUUCGUAAUCACAUAGUUGUUUGUUUGUAUUCUUGGCUGAUGUCUGUUUCCCCCACAUAACUGUGAAUUCAGCAGGGCAGAACCAGGUCUGCUGUGUUUUCCAGGAUCCCCAGACACCUAGAACACUGUUGCCACAUAGCUCUUGUUGAAUGAAUGAAUGAACCUGCGCCCCCCACCCCCUCAAAUGUACUAGAGGGAAGGAAGCUCUGAAAGGACAGAACCUGAUCAUUGCAUCACAUGGGAAGAAGAUGACCAUUAAAACAGGGAUCCUCAUACUAACUCCAGGGUCUUUGGUGAAGCACGAACGGGAGGACGCAGAAAUCAAUAUAUUAUGGGCUGCCAAAGAAUGAACAAACCAGUCUUAGAAGAAAUAAACCAAAAAGUUCCUUAGAAGUGAGAAUGGCAAGAGUUCAACUCACUUUGGACAUGUCAUAGGAAAGACCAAUUGCUAGAAAAGGAAGUCAUGUUUGGUAGAGAAGUGGUCCAAAGAAAACAAGGGGAACACUGAAUGAGAUGAUUUGACGCAAUAGCUGCAACAGUGGACGCAAACACACCAACAAUUGUGAGGGUAGUCCAGGACUGGGCAGCGUUUUGGUCUGUUGUACACAAGGUUGCCACGCGUCGGAGCUGACUCAACAGCAAACAACAACAAUCUAGGACAAAAUUCGAGAAAUAUAGGGAUUAUAUAUCCAUAUAAAACUAUGAUCCUUAUGAGUUUCUUCCACAAUAAUUCUAUCAUUGUUGUUUUUGGGAUUCCAUAGUACCACACAUUUAAGAUUAUGUUUUUAAGUCUAAUUGGUUGUAAUAUCUUGAAUACUAACAAUAUACACUAACAUAAGAAUUGUUAGGUAACAGUCACUCUUCUACGUUUUUUGCAGUUAUAAACUCAUUUACAUUUAUAGGUCCUCACAACAAUCCUACCAAGUGGGUGCUAUUCUUAUCUCCCUCUUCCAUGUGAGGAAACUGAGGCACAGAGAAGUUAAACUCAACUAAGGUCACACAGCUUCUAAAUGGCAGAGCUAGAAUUUGAACCUAGGCCAUCUGGCUUCAGAGUCUAUCCUUUUAUCCAUUAUGCUUUCCUGCCUAUUUUGUGGUCCUUUAGAAGCUGUAAGAUUCUAGAGAGUUAGGAUUCUAUCACAUAUGGCCCUGGGAUUCUAUUUCACUCCACUCCUUCACCAUAACUUAUCCCCAUCCCUAUCUUCUACCCUCAGUCUGGGCAUAAGGGCCA
Molecule: long non-coding RNA, 4454 nt
Organism: Loxodonta africana (African savanna elephant)
Lineage: Eukaryota; Metazoa; Chordata; Mammalia; Proboscidea; Elephantidae
Exons: 3
Source: RefSeq, a predicted model, not a curated record